Molecule: long non-coding RNA, 1323 nt
Organism: Dama dama (fallow deer)
Lineage: Eukaryota; Metazoa; Chordata; Mammalia; Artiodactyla; Cervidae
Exons: 3
Source: RefSeq, a predicted model, not a curated record
UGAAUCUCCGGCGAGGCCUUUCCCGCCCCCUGCCGCCCCAGCAGCAGGGGAGGCUGGGGUCGCUUGCCAGAGAAGCAAAGUCGGGAGGUCCGGUGGCCAAGCGAGAGCCGUGGGGCUCAGGCUGGUGGCACCGUCACUCCAGCGGGCUUGCCGGGCGACGGGGCGGGCAGCUGCCACGGGGUCGGUGAUCUUUGCCAGUCUGGUCCAGCACUCACCCUCCUUACCCUUUUGCCCCAGCCCCUGCCCGUGGCGAAUUCCGGAGUCCCCUCCGCCGCGAAGAAUCACCGCGCAGGCUCGUGGGAAGUUGCGAUUGUAUUGUUCUUUACCGGGCGCGGCGAUCCAGACCGACCCGGUUCUGCGGAGGGGUCGCCGGAGGAGGUGUAACAGUGGUCUCCGGCUGGUCUAGAGCCGGGCGGCUACGGCUCUCCAGAGUGCCCCGCCUCUGUCCGACUGUUCCGAGAAGAUUAGCAGGAGGCAUAGCAGUCAUUGUGAUCCUGUUCAGAAGCUACUUUGGCCAAAACCAUCCAUUGGUACUUUGUACACUUUAAAAUGGUUAAAAUGAUAUUAUGAAGUCUUCUGAUUACCUCAUAUAAAAAUACAAACCCUUACUUGGCAUUCUCUAUCCACUCACCCUGUGAUAACAGUCUUAGAGCCGUCUGAUGUUACUUACUUGUUCACAGGGAACUCUUUUUGAUAUCCCGUGACAAACCAUAAUGGAAAAUAACGUGAAAAGAUAGAUAUAUAACAGUCAUUUUGCUGUACAGAACAAAUUAACACAACAUUGUAAAUCAAAUAUACUUCAAUAAAAUGAGAAAAAUUUAUAAACCACAAAAGUGAAAUUAUUACUUGUUAUACUGUCUGCUGUCCUUCUCUAGGAUAAAGUUUCAUAAGGUCAGUAAUUUUGUUUUGUUCACUUCUGUAUUCCCAGCAUCUAAAAACAGUGCCCUUAUAGUAUACAGUGCAGAUAGUAAGUGCCCAAUAUAUAUGUGUUGAGUGAAUAAAUGAAUGUUUACUGAACUAAAUAAUUUCAUUUUUUUAAUGAACUACAUAAGAAUUCCAAGUUUCUGUCUGGAAAAAAAAAAACUUCCAAAGCUUAUAAUUAAUCUUUUUACUUUAAUUGACUUUAAAAUGGAAUGAAAAUACCAUUUUUGUUAUUGUAUUGGUUUUGCUGAUUAUUUUUAUAUGCCCAGUUAAUUAAAGGAAUUAGUAGAUUGAAUGGGUUAUAUUUUCUUUGUAAAAACCAAAUUGCUUUUUCUCAACUACUCUGUGUUUCUGUUAAUAUUUAAAAAUAUUAUUAAAACACUUGGCACUUGUCAUUCACUG